Long non-coding RNA from Hypanus sabinus (Atlantic stingray), 8595 nucleotides. RefSeq lists it as uncharacterized. The record is from RefSeq and is a predicted model, not a curated record. Lineage: Eukaryota; Metazoa; Chordata; Chondrichthyes; Myliobatiformes; Dasyatidae. The transcript is spliced from 3 exons.
AGUGCUGCACAGUGUUUCUAUGUGAGAAGUAUAGCAGGAAAAAGAAUCAAAGCUGAGCUUGCAUCUGUAGACACUGGAACUAUUGGCCUCAAGUUGAUAAUUUCCGUUACUUCUGCCACGCGAGUGCACAGAAUGUCAUAAUUCAAGCUGGAAGAUCAUCUACAGAUCAGCAUAGAAUCCAAGAUUUUCCUCAACACUCCAAUUAUGCGCUCCUGUGCACUGCCCAUAUGUGAGGAGAGUGGUGGAUCAGCAUCCCAAGUGUAACCUUGGCUGUUGAUGGAGCUGUGCGCCUUAGUCCUUCACAACUGUGCACUUCGCAACUGGUAAGUUGUUGGGAAUACGAGACACUGCAAUGACACUCUCUCCAUUGACUGCUGUCUGAUCACACAGUUGUUUUUCGACAUGCCUUUUACAUCUUGGUGGGUGCCCAUUCUAGGAUCAGUUGCUAGUCUUUCAAGAUUUCAGGAUUUUCCACCAUACCCUGGAUUCACCCUGCAGUUUUACCUAGCAACUGUGUGUUGGUUAGAGAAAUUGCAGCUCAAGUCCAGUGUCUUCCCCACAUCUAUCUCAGGAAGCAGGGUAUUCUGGGAUGUUCUGUUGAUACUGAUGCUUUGCAAGAGACUGUGUUGAGGCUGAGAACUGGAGUUUACCUUUUCUUUACGGUUAAGGGCUGUACAGUGAAAUUCUCUCAUUUUCCAGAAGACUUGUUCUAGAGCUGUGAGAAGCAGACCUGUAGAAUUUCCCUAAACAUAUCACCAACAAGGUCCCAUCCUGAGUGCAGCUUCUGUGUGAGGUGUUCAUUGCCAGAGCUUUGUAUGCUGUGAAGAUAUCUCUCAACAGAAGUGGGAUUUGGGCUUUAUUAUCCAGCAGUGGGAUCUGUUCAGCAAAACACUUGAAGUGGGAGUGAUAGAGAGCAGCCUCUGAAGUUGCUGUUUUUUCAUGAUUGUCUGAAUGUCAUUAUGCUCAAUUGGUGUUGCAAGUGUAAGAGUAAUGCCAUCAUUCCAUGCUUCAAUCUGAUAACCCAUUGCUCUUCUACCUGAUCUCUCCAUUACACCAGCAGAUGAUGAAUUGCCAUGGAUGAUCAAAUAACUCUGAUCGGGCUAAGGAUACGUUGCUGUGGUCAUUGAACAUGGCAUAUAUCUUGAAAGCAUUCUCACAAUGGCAUUUAGGAUGCACUUUAAGCAUAUCUUGGAACAGGAUUUAGUGACUACACUGUUCUUACCAUCAUCUGUGCAUGAAGAGUUUGCAGACAGCAAAGUUUCUUCCUCUACCUCCCUGCCCUGCUUUGAAGUGUGAUCUGAAACCUUGGAUGUAGGGCUGUAAUAUGAAUGUUGUCAUGGCAUUCAUCACACUUCAAUGUGCAUUAUGCGUGAGAGAUGAUGAGGAACAGCAUCUGAAGCAAAUCCCUUGCUCUUUCAGUUUUAACCAUUGGGGAAUUCCUUGUGUGGUGCUGGACAGGUAAAAAUGAGGUUUUGGGGUACUUGGAGACAAUGUUCCCUCUUAAGGUGUGCGUGCCCACACAUCUUUUGCUACUAACACACAAAAGGUUGUCACCCUCUAUCUCAUUGGCAUUUUAAGUAUAUUUCACGAUCAUACACAAUCAAAUUUCCUAUUUCAGUUUCUGAUGAGGUUGGUAUUGACAACUUGGAGUUUGUGAUUUGUCUGCAAAUUUUAGAACUGGCUUAUUUAUACAGUUUUGAAGAAAAUAUUGAUUCAUUAUGUUGAAUUCCAAAGAAGCAAAGGGCGUGAAGCGCAAAAUAAUUUCUAGUUCAUUUAAAGCAGAAUGGCUUAUUAUCUUUAGAAUAGCUUCAGGUUUACUUCUAUUUAAAAAUUCACUGUGCACAUGUUGUCACUGGGCAAGAAUUUGCACAGCAUAGAAUUUUUACACACUCUGGUUGUUACAAAUUAGAAGGAACAUUGCUUAGAGGUGCAUGACAAAAUAGGCCAAAGUCAGCAUGGUUUCCUUUUGGGGAAAUCAUGCCUGACAAAUCUGUUGGAAUUCUUUGAGGAAAUAAUAGACAGAUGGACAAAUAAGAGUUAGUGGAUGGUGUUCAUUUGGAUUUUCAGAAGGUCUGUGACAGGUGCCACACAUGAAGCUGCUUAACAAGUUACAAGCCCAUGAUAUUACAGGAAAGAUAUUAGCAUGGAUAGAAGAUUGACUGACUGGCAGGAGGCAAAGUGUGGGAAUAAAGGGGCCCUUUCCUGAUUGGCUACCGGUGACUAGUGGUCUGCCACAGGGGUCAGUAUUGGGACUGCUUAUUUGUCAAUGAUUUGGAUGGAGAGAUUGAUGGCCAAGUUUGCAGGUGAUGUGAAAAUAGGUGGAAGGAUGGGUGGCAUUGAGAAAGCAGGGUGUCUGUAGAAGGACUUGGACAGAUUGGGAGAUUGGCAAAGAAGUUGGCAUGGAAUAUAUUGUAGAGAAGUGUAUGGGCAAGCACUUCAGUGGAAGGAGUAAAGGCAUAGAUUAUUUUCUAAAUAGGAAAAAUUAAUCAGAGGUCAAAGUGAUUUGGGAGUCCUCGUGCGGGAUUUCCUAAAGGUUAACUUGCAGGUUGAGUCAAUGGUAAGGAAGGCCUAUGCAAUGUAUGCAUUCAUUUCAAAGGGGCUAGAAUACAAAAGCAAGGAUGUAAUGUGAAGGCUUUAUAAGGCAUUGGUCAGGACUCAUGGAAUAUUAAGAAAAGACGCACUGGCAUUGGAGAGGGUUUCAAGGAGGUUCAUAAGAAUGACCCCAGGAAUGAAAUGGUUAACAUACGAGCAGCAUAUGGGACAUAAUAGAAUAGAGGGACAUCCAUUUAAAACAGAUAGGGGAGAAGUUUCUUUAGCUUGAGGGUGAUGAAUCUAUGCAAUUCAUUGCCAUAGAUGGCUGUGCAGGCCAAGUCAUUGGAUAUAUUUAAGGCUGAACUUGUUAGGUUCUUGAUAAACCAGGGAGUCAGGGGUUACAGGGAGAAUGGGUUUGAAGGGUUUAUGUCAAGUCACUUUUAUUGUCAUUUCGACCAUAACUGCUAUGUACAGUACAUAGUAAAAAUUAGAUAACGUUUUUCGGGACCAUGGUGUUACAUGACACAGUACAAAAACUAGACUGAACUACAUAAACAACAACAUAGAGAGAAAAAAAAAACAACUACACUAGGCUACAGACCUACCCAGGACUGCAUAAAGUGCACAAAACAGUGCAGACAUUACAAUAAAUAAUAAACAGGACAAUAGGGCAAGGUGUCAGUCCAGGCUCUGGGUAUUGAGGAGUCUAAUAGCUUGGGGGAAGAAACCGUUACGUAGUCUGGUCACGAGAGCCCGAAUGCUUCGGAGCCAUUUUCCAGGCGGCAGCAGGGAGAAGAGUUUGUAUGAGGGGUGCAUGGGGUCUUUCAUAAUGCUGUUUGCUUUGCAGAUGCAGUGUGUAGUGUAAAUGUCCGUAAUGGUGGGAAGAGCGACCCUGAUAAUCUUCUCAGCUGACCUCACUAUCCUCUGCAGGGUUUUUUAAUCCAAGAUGGUGCAAUUUCCGAACCAGUCAGUGAUGUAGCUGCUCAGGAUGCUCUCAAUACAACCCCUGUAGAAUGUGAUGAGGAUGGGGGGUGGGGGGGGGCAGAUGGACUUUCCUCAGCCUUCGCAAGAAGUAGAGACGCUGCUGGGCUUUCUUUGCCAUGGAGCUGGUGUUGAGGGACCAGGUGAGAUUCUCCACCAGGUGAACACCAAGCAAUUUGGUGCUCUUAACGAUCGCUACCGAGGAGCCGUCGAUGUUCAGCGGGGAGCGGUCACUCCAUGCCCUCCUGAAGUCAACAACCAUCUCUUUUGUUUUGUUCACAUUCAGAGACUGUCACUGCCAUUUGAGAACAACUUCUUCUGUGGGAUAUAUCUACCCUGCACCUUGUGAACUGUUCCCAGAAAAUUCAGCCACCUCUGCUUUGCCAUCAUCCCCACCGAUAUCCUCCUGUAAUCCAUCUGGGAAACCUCCUCUCUCAUGUCAGUGUAAUUCCCUUUAUUCCAUUGCGCUACAGAUAUAUGUGAGUUAAAUUGCACUACAAUUUCAAUCAUAUUAUGAUCAUCACCUCCUAAGGGUCCCUUUACUUUAAGUUCCCAAAUAAGAUCUGGGUUAUUACACAACACACAAUCUAAGAUGGCCUUUCUCCAAGUAGGCUCAUACACAAGCUGCUCUAAAAAGCUAUCUUGUAGGCAUUCAACAAAUUCUCUCUCUUGCGAUCUGACACCAAACUGAUUUUCCCAACCCCCUUACAUACUGAAGUCCCACAUUCCAACUGUGACAAUACCCUUAUUGCAUGCCUUUUCCAGCUCUCUUUGCAAUCUCAAUCCCACAUCAUGGCUACUAUUUGGAGGCCUAUAUAUAAUUGACCAGGUAAGAUUGACGAAAAAGCUGAUUGUGGACUUCAGGAAGGGUAAGACGGAGGAACACAUACCUAUCCUCAUAGAGGGAUCAGAAGUGGAGAGAAUGAGCAAUUUCAAAAGCAAAUGCUGAGGGUUUAUAAGGCAUUGGUCAGGCCUUACAGAGUAUUAUGAACAGUUUUUGGACCCUUUAUCUAAGAAAAGACAUGCUGACGUUGGAGAGAGUUUUGAGGAGGUUCAUGAGAAUGAUCCCGGGAAUGAAAGGGUUAACAUCUGAGAAGUGUUUGAUGGCUCUGGGCCACUACUCUCUGGAGUUUAGAAGAAUGAGGAGGGUUCUUAUUGAAACAUAUUGAAUAUUCUAAAGCAUAGAGUGAAUGUGGAGAAGAUGUUUCCUACAGCGAGCUCAGCUUCAGAAUAGAGGGACAUCCAUUUAAAACAGGGAUGGGGAGAAGUUUCUUUAGUUCGAGCAUUGCUUUUCACAUGGUGAAUGGUUGGAGACUAGAAUGUGCUGCCUGAAAAGGAUUUAUGCAGGCAGACAUUCACAACUCUUAAGCAGAAUUUGGACAAGCACUUGAGUACAAUGGCCAGUAUAAACAUGAUGGAUCAAAGGGCACAAGUCAUCACAUUUUUAGACAACCCUCUCAGAAACCUACUUUGCCAACUUAGGCUGCCACUAAAAUUCAUCACCAUCCACUGUUCUAUUAAGACAUGUAAACUAUGAUCCUCACCAACAAAAUGGCACAGACCCAACACCAGUGCAAAAUGCAAUCAAGGAAAACUAUGUCAUUGCAUCUGCGUGGUAAUACUGCACUUUGCAUUCAGCAAGAAUAGAGGUAGUCUACGAAAGGAGAGAGAACUGUUCAGUCUUCGCUGCCUUCUCAUCAGAACCAAGACCACUCUGGCCUAAUAUUACAACUCAGCCUGCAGGUGACGUACACUAGAAGGCUGAGCUCCAACCACAUUUACCUUCAGCACAGCUACAAGAGGAUAGAUCUUAUAUUAAGCACCCGGAAGGCAAAGGUUCUCCAGAUGUCUAUCGACAAUGUCAUUCUGACAACCAAGGUUUACAAAAAGCCAACUCUCACAGGCAUUAACAAAAUUUGCCACAGCACACCGCUUGUCUGCCUUAGGGAAAAAGUGUUCAAAAAUCAAGACCUCAAACGUGACCCAAACUUGCAGUUUAGAAUGCAAACCUCUCCCACAACUGCUUCAGGACAUGGAUAACUUACAGUUGAUAUCUCAAAGCGAUGGUGGUACCAACUCUAUUGCAGCACAACAGAAGUAAUAAGUAGAUCUGCAGGGAGCAGUUUGCAACAAGCUGUUGUAUGCUCUGGCAUGAUAAGAUGCACUCUCAAUCUUAUAAUCUAUCCCAUAAUGAUCUUGCACCUUAUUAUCUAUCUGUAUUGUACUUCCUCUGUAGCUGUUACACUUCAUUCUGCAUUAUUAUUGUACUACCUCAAUGCACUGAGUAAAGUAUUGAUCUGUAUGAACAGUAUGCAAGACAAGCUUUUCACUCUACCUCAAUACGUGACAAUAAUAAACCAAUUCCAAAAUCCUUCAAAUCUAGUGGCAAGACAGAUAAACCUACAGUGUGCCUACUUCUGAAUUAAAUUCUCAACAUCAAGGCUGAGAUCACGCUUAACCUGCUCACAACCUAGUCAAGAGUAACUGGAUGCCCGAACAGUAAAUCCACUAGCAAUGGUCUUGUGCCACCACUAAUGUGGAAUUUAAAAACUAAUCCUUUAAAUUUCACUUAUAGCUUUCUGAUGCUAACUUAAACAUACUUCCAAAACUCUGCAAAACUCUUAAAUAUUUAAGGAAGGAAAUUGAUUAAAGAACGAGUGUUGUUGGCUCAUACAGGACCAAAUGAAGUUAAUGGAAAUAAAACUUGCGGAAAGUCAAGUAGAUGACUGAAGGAAUAAUGUGUCUUACAGAUCGGGAUUAUCUUCCAUCUGACUGAAGGAUAUAGAACCAUAGAACAUUUCAGCACAGUAACAGGCCUUUUGGUCCUUGUUGGCAAAUCUUUAUGGGCAGAUCUUAAUUCAGAAUUCAUUACAGAACAGGAUAAAACUCUGGGUUACAUCAGGGUUCCCAAGAAUUGCCAUAACCUGAACUGGCAGGGACAGGCCACUGUGGCUGACAAUUAAAGUUAAGGACUGCAUAAAAGUCAAGGAAAGGGCAUAUAAGGUAGCAAAAGUGAGUGGGAAGUUGGAUGAUUGGGAAGCUUUUAAAAUCCAACAAAAGACAACCAAAAAGCCAUAGGAAGGGAAAAGAUUAAAUAUGAGGGCAAACUAGCCAAUAAUAUAAAGCAGGAUACAAAAAGUUUUUUCAGUUAUAUAAAGAGUAAAAGGGAGGUGAGAGUUGAUAUUGAACCACUGGAAAACAGUGCUGGUGAGGUAGUAAUGGGGGACAAAUGAAUGGCAGAUGAACUUAAUGAGUACUUUGCAUUGGUCUUCAUUGUGGAAGACUAGCAGUGUGCCAGAGUCAGUGAGUGUCAGGGAGCAGAAGUGAAUGCCAUUACUAUCACAAAGGAAAGAGUGCUAGGCAGACUCAGAGGUCUUAAGGUGCAAAGUCACCUGAACCAGAUGGACUACAUCCCAGAACCCUGAGAGAGGUUGCUGAAGAGAUAACAGGUGCAUUGGUCAUGAUCCUGCAAGAAUCACUUGAUUCUGGUAUGGUCCCAGAGGACUGGAAGAUUGCAAAUGUCACUCCACUUUUUAAGAAGGGAGGAAGGCAAAAAAAAAGGUAAUUAUAGUGUAGUUAGCCUAACCUAAGUGGUUGGGAAAGUGUUGGAGUAUAUCAUUAAGGAUGAGGUUUCAGGGUACUUAGAGUCUAAUGAUAAAAUUAAGUCAAAGUCAGCAUGGUUUCUGUGAAGAGAAAUCUUGCCUGACAAAUCUGUUAGAGUUCUUCAAGGAGUAACAAGCGGGGGGACAAAGGAGAGGCAGUGGAUGUCACUUACUUGGAUUUUCAGAAAGAAUUUGAUAAGAUGCCACACACGAGGCUGUUUAGCAAGAUAAAAUCUGAUAGCGUUACAGGAAAGAUACUGGCAUGAAUAGAGGAAUGGCUGACAGGCAGGAGGCAAUGAGUGAGAAUAAAAGAGGCCUUUUCUCGUUGGCAGCUAGUGACUAAUGGUGUUCCUCAGGGGUCAGUAUUGGAACCACUACUUUUCACAUUGUUUGUCGGUGAUUUGGAUAAUGGAAUCGAUGGCUUUGUGGUGAAGUUUGCAGAUGAGACGAAGAUAGGUGGAGGGGUAGGUGGAGCUGAGGAAGCAAUGUGAUUAUAGCAAGACUUAGACAUAUUGGAAGAAUGGACAAAAUAAUGGCAAAUGGAAUACAGUAUAUUAAUACAUUUUGGUAAAAAGAACAAUAGUGCAGACUGCUUUCUAAAAGGGGAGAAGGUUCAAAUAUUGGAAAUGUAGAGGGACUUAGGAGUCCUUAUGUAAGUCUCAUGGAAGGUUAAUUUACAGGUUGAGUCUGUGGUAAAGAAGGCAAAUGCAAUUUUGCCAUUUAUUUCAAGGAAAUAGAAUAUAAAAGCAAGGCAAUAAUGCUGAGGCUUUACAAGACAGAGAGCAGGAAGACUUACAGUCAGAUGACUGUGCAGUUCUGCGUAGACCCUGGUCCUGGAAGCAAAUAAUGAGGCUGAAGUGGAAUUAGACUUGAACAAUGCCAAACUCUGGUUUUAACAGGAUUCUCUUCACAGAUUUCACUGAAAAUUCUUCAGUGGACUUGGAGAUAACUUUUAAUAUUGUGGUAAUGAACAUGGAUUGUUAUUUGACUAUUGUUUUUAAGUGACCUGCUUCACAGCUGUUGCAUAAUAACUACUUUUAAUUUGGUCCAAAAGUCUGUUCUUCAGGCUUGUUUUAUUAUGGCACUUUUCAUGAAAAAGUCUGGAGCGAUCUUGCAAAAGACUAGAUGUUGAGUUAAUUGAAAUUGAUAAAAAUUUCUUUGUGUGAGGAUAUAAAGUGAUUUAAGUAAAGGCAGAUAAAUAGUGGAUGGUGCCAUACUUUCACCCACUCUCAUAUCCUAAUGAAUUUAGUAGGGGGGGGGGCUUCUUGAACAAUUCUUGUGGAAGUAGCACUCCCAUGCCAAUUAGAUCAUAGUUCAUGCGAUUGAGACAAAUUGCAUAGCCAGUUAUUUAUUGCUUUUUCAGUCUAUGUGCCUAUCGCUAAUGUAAUUUCAUAUGAAAAACUGCAAAUCUGUGCCUUUUCAGCAUUUUCUCUUUUCUAUAUCAGUAUUUGAUAUGCUAACUGUCUUUUUUUAUUAUUUU